AUACAUGGCUGGAUGGUUGAAAAUCCCGAUCUUGACAACUGGUAUAAUUU
Molecule: transfer RNA, 50 nt
Filed under: Anathallis aristulata
Lineage: Eukaryota; Viridiplantae; Streptophyta; Magnoliopsida; Asparagales; Orchidaceae
Description: partial tRNA-Ser
Source: RNAcentral